Molecule: ribosomal RNA, 621 nt
Filed under: uncultured archaeon
Lineage: Archaea
Description: bacterial SSU rRNA
Rfam family: Archaeal small subunit ribosomal RNA
Source: RNAcentral
UUCCGGUUGAUCCUGCCGGAGGGAACCCCUAUCGGGUUCAGACUAAGCCAUGCGAGUCGGCUGGGGGCACUUGCCCCUGGCGGCGCACGGCUCAGUAAUACGCGGUCAACCUACCCUGGGGACUGGGAUAACCUCGGGAAACUGAGGCUAAUCCCGGAUGGGUGUAGGGUGCUGAAAUGCCCCUACGCCGAAAGUAGGCGGGAAAUGGACCGCUGAGGCCCCAGGAUGGGACCGCGGCCUAUCAGGUAGUAGGUGGGGUAACGGCCCACCUAGCCUACGACGGGUACGGGCCCUGAGAGGGGGAGCCCGGAGAUGGGCACUGAGACAAGGGUCUAGGCCCUAAGGGGCGCAGCAGGCGCGAAGAUUCCGCAAUGCCCGAAAGGGCGACGGAGUGAACCCGAGUGCCACCCGCUGAGGGUGGCUGUUCCCCUGUGUAAAAAGCAGGGGGUAGGAAGGGGAGGGCAAGGCUGGUGGCAGCCGCCGCGGUAAAACCAGCUCCCCGAGGGGUUCCCACGCAUACUGGGCCUAAAGCGUCCGUAGCCGGCCCUGUAAGUCCGCAGUUAAAUCCGCCCGUAGACAGGCGGGCUGCUGCGGAUACUGCAGGGCUAGGGAGCGGAAGAA